RNAcentral lists this long non-coding RNA (370 nucleotides) under Physcomitrium patens. Its description in RNAcentral is "long non-coding RNA (PPAT_LNC001105)". Lineage: Eukaryota; Viridiplantae; Streptophyta; Bryopsida; Funariales; Funariaceae. The record is from RNAcentral.
GGAGCCGGGGAUAAGCUUGGUGCUAUCUCUUCUUCUUAGUUUUCUUAUUUCUUUUGUGUUAGUGUUGAUUCUAGUGAAGAGAAUUGAUUUAAUGAAUUAAUGUUUGAUUUGCAAAGUUGUUUAUGGAUCACUAUUUAUCAAUUGUUGUGAAAGAUUGAGGACGUAUGGAAGUUUCCAGUCACUGUUUAUUGCAAGGUUGUAAGUUUAGUGGAGAGGAAUUGUAAUCGAAGGAAUUGUCUUGAUUAGAUUCUGUGGAUUGAAAGUUGUUCGUUCCAAGGUUUGGGAUAUGCUUGUGUAUUCGUGAAUUAUACAGGGUAGUGAAAUCGUUGUCGUGGAUGUUAUUGUAUUGAUAUGAGAGAGUGGACAGUAG